Pseudopipra pipra is the source of this 1019-nucleotide long non-coding RNA. RefSeq lists it as uncharacterized. NCBI's taxonomy places the organism in Eukaryota, Metazoa, Chordata, Aves, Passeriformes, Pipridae. The transcript has 2 exons. The record is from RefSeq and is a predicted model, not a curated record.
ACGGGGGGCAUGGAGAAGGGGAAGCCUGGACAGUGGGGACCCCUGGGAUCCCCGGGACAAUGAAGUGGAAAACCUGGAGAGAGGGAAUAUCCGGGAAUGUGGCACCCUGAAGGCGAGAGUCAGAGGAGAAGGGACCCUUGAGACCCAACACUCCCAAGUAUCCCUAAGUGGGACCCCAAGCAUCCCAGACAGGGGAGACUCUCUGAACCCCAGAGGGGAGAGACCAGAGAGGGGGAAUUUCUGGGAGAGAUUUUUUGGGCUAAUCUUCAUAUUUUAGAGUAUAUUUUAGCUGAAUCCCAACUUUUUGCAGUUUGUGGGGACAAGGGUUUUCUUGCUAUUUCUGAGGUUUUUUCCUGAAUCACUGUGGUUUGGGUUUUUCUGGGCUGAAUCUUGGUGUUUUGGAGGUUUUUGUGGUCACGGGAUGCCCGAUGAGUUCUAGAGAUGGACUUGGGCAGGAGGAACCCCCAAGCCAACGCGCUCAGCCCUUGUUUCCCCCCAUCAGGAUUUGUCCUUCCCAAAGCUUGGGUGGAUGGAGGAGGAGGCUGCGAGGAAGAGGAAGAUGCCUUGGGCCCCCCAGGCAGACCCCGAGCUGAGGACGGAGAGCCCGGAGGACAAAUCCCCCCUUGAGACCCUGGUGGGAGAGGCCGUUUUGAAGGGCUCCCCGGCGCAGGAAGGCAGCGGGGAGGAAAAGGGCCGGAGAUCCCCCCGCAGGAGGGGCUCCAAAGCCAGUCCCCUUUCCCAGGGGCAGGUUCUUCCAACAGAACCUUUCUGGAGGUGUGUGGAGAUUCCUGCCAUGGCUGGGGACCCCCCAAGGUCACUCCUGGAGGUUGAGAGCAGAGAUCUCCCCACCAGCGUUGGUCUGGGGGAGUUCCAUCCACCUCUAAUUAAGAAUUAUUGCUUUUGUUUCAGCUUUAGUAGAAUUGCAUCAAUAAUUACUUUAGUGUAGAGCACUGUCCUAUCUUAUCCUGUACUCCUGGUAGUUUUAGUGUUUCUAUUGUGCAGUAAAUAAUUCUGAUGAA